UAAAAAAAAACUCUUCAAAUCCCAGUCAACCAGUCCCCACCCGUGAAUCGUGAUACUCUUAUCUAAUAGGGUUUUCGCCCCCUCUUCUAUAUCUCAUUCCAUGGCUCUCUGUCAAACCCAAAAGUCGUAACUGCAUCUUUUCUCUCUCCUCUUCGAGUUUCUGAGGCUGCUGUUCUACAUUAUCGAGAUCCAUAGAGGUUCUCAAUAUGGUGGCUGAGGUUGAUCUCUCUCUUGCUGUCGUGUCUGUCUCGCCAGAGACCUUUCGGAGUUCUAGUAGUACAGAGACAAUGAAUCUACGCAAUACAGAGACAGAAAUUAAUGAGGAUGAAAAAACCUUUCAGGGAAUAAUGGAUAAGGAGUAUGAAAAAGCAGAAGACUAACCUUUGUAGUUUACUAUUGUGUAUUGGAAUUUGAUUAAAGCAAUGGAUGUGUUUCGUAAUAUUCUUAGCAAAUUAUUUCAAAUAAUAUAGUAUGUAAUGAAUUGCAUAAUGUAUGUUGUAUGCA
Molecule: long non-coding RNA, 504 nt
Organism: Juglans microcarpa x Juglans regia
Lineage: Eukaryota; Viridiplantae; Streptophyta; Magnoliopsida; Fagales; Juglandaceae
Exons: 2
Source: RefSeq, a predicted model, not a curated record